UGAACGCUGGCGGCGUGCCUAAUACAUGCACGUCGAGCGAACAGACGCGGAGCUUGCUCCUCUGGCGUUAGCGGCGGACGGGUGAGUAACACGUGGAUAACCUACCUAUAAGACUGGGAUAACUUCGGGAAACCGGAGCUAAUACCGGAUAAUAUAUUUAACCGCAUGGUUCAAUAGUGAAAGACGGUUUUGCUGUCACUUAUAGAUGGAUCCGCGCCGCAUUAGCUAGUUGGUAAGGUAACGGCUUACCAAGGCAACGAUGCGUAGCCGACCUGAGAGGGUGAUCGGCCACACUGGAACUGAGACACGGUCCAGACUCCUACGGGAGGCAGCAGUAGGGAAUCUUCCGCAAUGGGCGAAAGCCUGACGGAGCAACGCCGCGUGAGUGAUGAAGGUCUUCGGAUCGUAAAACUCUGUUAUUAGGGAAGAACAAAUGUGUAAGUAACUAUGCACGUCUUGACGGUACCUAAUCAGAAAGCCACGGCUAACUACGUG
This 495-nucleotide ribosomal RNA is filed under the name uncultured bacterium. RNAcentral's name for it is "partial 16S ribosomal RNA". It matches the Rfam family "Bacterial small subunit ribosomal RNA", at positions 30 to 507 of the family's 1533-position model. The record is from RNAcentral.